ACUACGGGUGGCAGCAGUGAGGAAUAUUGGUCAAUGGACGUGAGUCUGAACCAGCCAAGUAGCGUGAAGGAUGACUGCCCUAUGGGUUGUAAACUUCUUUUAUAUGGGAAUAAAGUUUUCCACGUGUGGGAUUUUGUAUGUACCCUAUGAAUAAGGAUCGGCUAACUCCGUGCCAGCAGCCGCGGUAAUACGGAGGAUCCGAGCGUUAUCCGGAUUUAUUGGGUUUAAAGGGGGGGUAGGUGGGUUGUUAAGUCAGUUGUGAAAGUUUGCGGCUCAAACGUAAAAUUGCAGUUGAAACUGGCAGUCUUGAGUAGAGUAGAGGUGGGCGGAAUUCGUGGUGUAGCGGGGAAAUGCUUAGAUAUCACGAAGAACUCCGAUUGCGAAGGCAGCUCACUGGAGUGCAACUGACACUGAAGCUCGAAAGUGUGGGUAUCAAACAGGAUUAGAUACCCUGGUAGUC
RNAcentral lists this ribosomal RNA (460 nucleotides) under uncultured bacterium. RNAcentral's name for it is "partial 16S ribosomal RNA". It matches the Rfam family "Bacterial small subunit ribosomal RNA", at positions 338 to 795 of the family's 1533-position model. The record is from RNAcentral.